AUAGAUUGACGAUUCAUUCAUUCAAUGCAUUAUAAAAGUGUCCACACAUUGUAAUCAGCUGUAGCGCCAUUUUGUAGUUUGGUUAUCCAUUAUUUGUCAGCAAGAAAUAUUAAUAUAUAGAAAACAAGUCUAGUUUUAAAGAUUUCCAUUAAAAUCCAAAGAAUUAUUGGAAAAAUGGUUACAGGCUAUAAAUAGAAAAAAUUUUAUGCCUAAUAAAUAUAGUAUAAUGGGGGGUUAGUGAUUCCUUCAUCUAGUAUGUCUAUAUUAUGCCGAAUUUGUGAAAGUUCAUUUAGAACUUAUCAAAAUGAUAUUAAACGUAAAAAUAUUAUUAAAAAAAUGGAAGUGUUGGUUUUUUCCACAAUAAUUGGUACAAAUAUUUUUAUUGAUCUUACUGAACAUAUUAAUGAACAUGAGAUUGGUUACAGCCAUUUUCAAAUUCUUGUAAAAUUAAUUGUUCAAAGAUAUUUAAAUAUUAGAUUUUUCCAUUUUGCUGACUUGAGAAACCAGGAAUUGAUAACUGGUAUGAGACAAAAUCUUACAAAAGCAAUACAAUUUAAUAAUCAAGAAGUCAUGUAAAUUAAUAUUUAUAUCUUCUUUUAUUUUUUAAAAAUUAUAUUGUAUAAAGAACAGGCCUUAUAUAAGACAUAUUAUAAAAAUUAUGAUAUUAUAUAUAAUCUAUGCUAAUGUAAAUAUAUUUUAUUUUUUAUAGGUGAUGAUAGAAUCAAAAAGGAUGAAUGUUUAUAAUCAAAGAUAAUAUGAAUGUGAAUCAUCAUAUUGUUAAAAAUACAUUUUGUUUUUUAAAGUGUACACAUUUAUAUUUUUAUAUAUUUAUUGUAUAAACCUUAUUUAAAUGAUUUAUAUAAUAAUUUAUACCCAUGCAAAAAAUGUUAUUAUUACACUAUGUUUUUAUUGAAAAAAAAAUAAAAGAU
This is a long non-coding RNA of Gordionus sp. m RMFG-2023, 929 nucleotides long. RefSeq lists it as uncharacterized. The record is from RefSeq and is a predicted model, not a curated record. The transcript is spliced from 3 exons. Lineage: Eukaryota; Metazoa; Nematomorpha; Gordioida; Chordodea; Parachordodidae.